This is a long non-coding RNA of Clupea harengus (Atlantic herring), 2413 nucleotides long. The record is from Ensembl. NCBI's taxonomy places the organism in Eukaryota, Metazoa, Chordata, Actinopteri, Clupeiformes, Clupeidae.
UGUGUGUGUCUGUGUCUGUGCCUGUGUGUGUGUGUGUGUGUGUGUGUGUGUGUGUGUGUGUGUGUGUGUGUGUCUGUGUGUCUGUGUCUGUGUCUGUGUGUGUGUGUGUGUGUGUCUGUGUCUGUGUCUGUGUCUGUGUGUGUCUGUGUCUGUGUCUGUGUCUGUGUGUGUCUGUGUCUGUGUCUGUGGGUGUGUGUGUGUGUGGGUCAGGCCCCGAGGAGAAGAUUUGAAUAAUGUGACAUUUGGAGGUCUCUUGAGAGCAGAAAGACAUGCAGUAUUAUAUGUUUAUUUUCUUGUGGGUCAUGCUAAUUAGCAACCAAGCAUUCCCUGGCCUGAAAGUGUAGUGUAGUUCAUCAUAAGUAGCCAGUAACCUUUUGACAUAGCUUUGUCUUUUGUGUUGUGUCUUUUGGGAAAUUUGUGUAAACACUGAACCAUCAGAAAUCAUAUUAAUACAAAGACAAAUGAUUCGAAGAAUGAACAUAUACAUACAUACAUAAAUACAAAAAUGCAUUCAUACAUGCAUUCAUACAUACAUACAUAUUUACAUACAGUGUGUAUUAGAUUUAAAGGUGUCCUUUGUAGGUAAUUUUUAGGUCAAGUAUAUUAUUUUUAUGUGUGUCGACUUAAAGGGAACUUUUAUAUAUUUUUUCAACACUGGAUGUGUUUUGUAUCAUGUUGUGGCGGUGGGGAAUGUUGCUGUAAAGUGAUUGUUCAUACUGGUGCAACUGUGAAAAGAUGUGCUUUAAAUGGAAAUAAUGCAUUGCAAUAUCAUGUGCAUCAGCUAAAGUGAGUGCCAAUUUCUGUUUCAUUUUUAGUCGUCAGUAUUUACAAGGAGCUUUAACUACCCUCUCAGUAUUUUCAUUGAGCCGAGGAUUAGCAUAUCAACAAGGUCCUGCAGAUAAUCAAGCUACACUUGAAACGUUUAUUGACAAAUUGUUGUCAAUAGAAGAAAUGCCUUAAAACAACACUGUCAUCCUGAUAGUUCAUACAAUUACGAGUUUAUGACGUUUUAAUCCUAAUAGAUCCGAGAUCCCAAAAGUUACUGGUAUGUAAGAGUGCCUUACAUUCUGUCCUUAUUGAUCUGCAUGAUAUACAGACACUCCAUCACAGAAAAGACAAUGACAAAUAGUUGUUUAGGAACAUUUUGUCAAAAUAAUAAUCAUAAUUACCCUGAAUAUGAUGCACAUAUAGUCUUUUUGUUCACAUUUAAUCAGGAUUCCUAUGAAUUGUUAAGUCCAAGUGAUCCAGUGAUGCCUAAUGUGAAACCUAGACUGCUACUGAGGAUUCCCUAAAGAAAGUUAAGCUUGACGCCACAUAUUUAAUAUCAUUCCUUUAAUUUGUUCCUGUAAGUUUUCACUGGGCUUUGUUUUCUUAUACCAAACCAGUUUGAAAUUCUCUACAUGAUGCAUUUCUGUUCACUUUAACACAACAGCUGAAACCUUUCAAAAGUUUUGUUUUAGAAUAACGAGCCUCACAUUUGUAUAAUGUGUAUUAUCACUGCAAGUCACUGUUUUGGUCCAGUCCACUCACUCGUUUGUUGUAUAAAUAAUGUUGAAUUUACAUUUUUAAUAUCCAUAUCUCAGUCUUAUCACUGGUAUCAGAGAACCUAUAAUUUGAUUGAACGCCAAGUGUCACUGGCGUUCUCUUCGAUGUCUUUUUGAUAUCUGUUGAUGUGUUUUUAAAUACGGUGUGACCUGCUUCUUGCUUACAGUGAUCUGAUCUUCACUGAGUGACCUCAAUCAGAACUAUCACCAGGCCUUGGUCUUAUUUUACCGCAGUUUGGGGAACAGUUCGUUUUUAAUUGUGAUAUGGUUUGGGAGCAAUGAAAAUAAUCUUAACAGCCAUUUUUAGUAAAUUGAUGAAAUGUUCAGAUAUAAAGCAACAGUGUAACACAUCAGAUGGUGUUGCCUGAACUUGGACAGAAUCCAACAUACAGUCUGCAGAUACAUCGGUGCCUGGACUGUGAAGGCCCCUUUCUGUGGCAUGUGUCUUGGUCUCUUGAUGAAAGUUUACAAAAUAACGUAUUCUCUUAGAGGAACCUAAAGUGUGAUUGGAUGAUACAACAUACACAGUUUAUUAUCCACGAUUAGAAAUUGUACGAUGUUUGGUACAGAAAAAUAGGUUCCUCUUGAAGUAUACUAUGUGCCUGUUGCUGAUUGUGUGAUUGCACUGAACACAUCACUGUAUAUGUAAUUCUCUAAAAUGAAAUGCAUGCAUAUUGUCAUGAUUUUCUACUAACUACAUUGUUAAUAAACGCCAAGGUUUAGUUUUCCUUCCUGAGUGUUUUCCUGUUUGUCCACACAUAAUAAUAAUAAUAAUAAUAAUAAUAAUAAUAAUAAUACCGUACACUUAUAUAGCACUUUUCUAUACCCAAAGACGCUUUACAUAGGGCAGAUAAAAAAAAGCUAAAAAA